AUUUUCUUAGUAUAGUUAGUACAGGUGGCUUCCAACCACCCAGCCUUGGUUCAACCCCAGGAGAAAAUA
This 69-nucleotide transfer RNA is filed under the name Microhyla butleri. Its description in RNAcentral is "tRNA-Gly". It matches the Rfam family "tRNA". Rfam says of the family: Transfer RNA (tRNA) molecules are approximately 80 nucleotides in length. Their secondary structure includes four short double-helical elements and three loops (D, anti-codon, and T loops). Lineage: Eukaryota; Metazoa; Chordata; Amphibia; Anura; Microhylidae. The record is from RNAcentral.